UACGGGGGGGGCAAGCGUUGUUCGGGAUUACUGGGCGUAAAGGGCUCGUAGGCGGCCAACUAAGUCAGACGUGAAAUCCCCAGGCUCAACCUGGGAACUGCGUCUGAUACUGAUUGGCUUGAAUCCGGGAGAGGGAUGCAGAAUUCCAGGUGUAGCGGUGAAAUGCGUAGAUAUCUGGAGGAAUACCGGUGGCGAAGGCGGCAUCCUGGACCGGCAUUGACGCUGAGGAGCGAAAGCCAGGGGAGCAAACGGG
Molecule: ribosomal RNA, 253 nt
Filed under: uncultured bacterium
Lineage: Bacteria
Description: partial 16S ribosomal RNA
Rfam family: Bacterial small subunit ribosomal RNA
Source: RNAcentral